GCACUGCUGAAGAGUCUCACAAUAUGGCGAAACGGUCGUCCAGUGC
This 46-nucleotide non-coding RNA is filed under the name Schistosoma curassoni. The record is from RNAcentral. Lineage: Eukaryota; Metazoa; Platyhelminthes; Trematoda; Strigeidida; Schistosomatidae.